AAAAAAAAAAAAAAAAAAAAGCAAAACAUACUGAUUGAUUUGUCCUCAUAUAGCUUUAUGCACUGACCUUUUGCUUAAAGUCCAAAUGGGGGAACUUUCCAUAGUUGUCCUGUACGAACCAGUUAUUAGGUGCCCUUCUUUCUCUUUCUGUCCUGACUUGCUUUUUGUUAUCCUUUUUUAAUUUACUGUUUUGUGCCAGGCUGCAGCACCUGAGAAGCAUAUAUUCAACAGAUGUAUCUUACAGCAUUGAGUUUGAAGAGCAGAUUUUCAAGUCUGGGAUGUGUGUAAUGAGAAAGGACAUGAAGUCCAUUCAAGAUAGGCUUUUCAGGGACAUGCAUGAGGAGGAACUGCUGAGCGUACGCAAGGGGCUUCAAGCCUUGUUCCUGCCUGACAGGGGACUGUGACUCUGGAAGGGAUAAUAGUUUUUGGCUAAUCCUCUUCGUUUUCAGAUAUAAAUGAAUUUUUCUACUUCCAGAAUUUUAGAUUUUUCAGUUAACAACUUGCUGUAGAAGCAACUUGAUAAAAUUGCUAGUGUUCAGUGUUAGUCUUCAGAAGUAUAAUGACUCUAACAGGAACCACACGUUAUUCAAUUAACUGUUUUGUUGUAUAAUAUUUAAGGUUUGCUUUUUUGCACGUGUGUUUGAGUUUUUUGAUUUAUGGAACUCUAAAUCAGUAUCUGUGGCAUGUUGUUAUUUCCUGUGUUUGAACAUGCG
RNAcentral lists this long non-coding RNA (713 nucleotides) under Scleropages formosus (Asian bonytongue). RNAcentral describes it as "lncRNA (ENSSFOG00015027215.1)". The record is from RNAcentral. Lineage: Eukaryota; Metazoa; Chordata; Actinopteri; Osteoglossiformes; Osteoglossidae.